RNAcentral lists this ribosomal RNA (253 nucleotides) under uncultured bacterium. Its description in RNAcentral is "partial 16S ribosomal RNA". It matches the Rfam family "Bacterial small subunit ribosomal RNA", at positions 524 to 776 of the family's 1533-position model. The record is from RNAcentral.
UACGUAGGGUCCGAGCGUUGUCCGGAAUUAUUGGGCGUAAAGGGCUCGUAGGCGGUUUGUCGCGUCGGGAGUGAAAACACGGGGCUUAACCCCGUGCCUGCUUCCGAUACGGGCAGACUAGAGGUAUGCAGGGGAGAACGGAAUUCCUGGUGUAGCGGUGAAAUGCGCAGAUAUCAGGAGGAACACCGGUGGCGAAGGCGGUUCUCUGGGCAUUACCUGACGCUGAGGAGCGAAAGCAUGGGUAGCGAACGGG